RNAcentral lists this ribosomal RNA (394 nucleotides) under uncultured bacterium. Its description in RNAcentral is "bacterial SSU rRNA". It matches the Rfam family "Bacterial small subunit ribosomal RNA", at positions 30 to 410 of the family's 1533-position model. The record is from RNAcentral.
AGUGAACGCUGGCGGCAGGCCUAACACAUGCAAGUCGAGCGGCAGCGCGUCCGACCACCCUCGGGUGGUCGGAUGGCGGCGAGCGGCGGACGGGUGAGGAAUGCAUCGGAAUCUGCCUCGUUGUGGGGGAUAACGUAGGGAAACUUACGCUAAUACCGCAUACGACCUACGGGUGAAAGUGGGGGACCUUCGGGCCUCACGCGAUGAGAUGAGCCGAUGCCGGAUUAGCUAGUUGGCGGGGUAAAGGCCCACCAAGGCGACGAUCCGUAGCUGGUCUGAGAGGAUGGUCAGCCACACUGGAACUGAGACACGGUCCAGACUCCUACGGGAGGCAGCAGUGGGGAAUAUUGGACAAUGGGGGCAACCCUGAUCCAGCCAUGCCGCGUGUGUGAAG